Molecule: ribosomal RNA, 497 nt
Filed under: uncultured bacterium
Lineage: Bacteria
Description: partial 16S ribosomal RNA
Rfam family: Bacterial small subunit ribosomal RNA
Source: RNAcentral
GAUGAACGCUGGCGGCGUGCCUAAUACAUGCAAGUCGAGCGAACGGACGAGAAGCUUGCUUCUCUGAUGUUAGCGGCGGACGGGUGAGUAACACGUGGAUAACCUACCUAUAGGACUGGGAUAACCUCGGGAAACCGGAGCUAAUACCGGAUAAUAUUUUGAACCGCAUGGUUCAAAAGUGAAAGACGGUCUUGCUGUCACUUAUAGAUGGAUCCGCGCUGCAUUAGCUAGUUGGUAAGGUAACGGCUUACCGAGGCAACGAUGCAUAGCCGACCUGAGAGGGUGAUCGGCCACACUGGAACUGAGACACGGUCCAGACUCCUACGGGAGGCAGCAGUAGGGAAUCUUCCGCAAUGGGCGAAAGCCUGACGGAGCAACGCCGCGUGAGUGAUGAAGGUCUUCGGAUCGUAAAACUCUGUUAUUAGGGAAGAACAUAUGUGUAAGUAACUGUGCAUAUCUUGACGGUACCUAAUCAGAAAGCCACGGCUAACUACGUG